GAAUCUUUUGGACGAACUGUACACUACAGAAUUUCUCAUCGAUAAAAACAAAACACUUGUCAAAAUUAAAUUAUUUUUGUUUCAUUUAAAAAAAUCCCUCAUCCCUGAAAAGGUUAAAUCCGUCAUAUAAAUGGGGUUACAUCAAAAUCACCUACACGUUUCAUUAACACUGUUUUCGGCAUUAAAAAUUCAACAUCAGAAUUAACCGACAACAGCUUUGACUGGCAGUAGUUUUGACCAACAACAGGUUUGACCGACCGCGGUUCUGACCAAAAGCAGCUUUAACCGACGUAUUCUCUGAAUUGUGUACUGAAUAAUUCAGAGGAAGUACUCAGGAUACAAAUACAUCUUUAAUAAAAUUAAUGGAAAUGAUAUCUUUCAAUGAAACAGUGCAAUAACUGUCAACAAAAAUUGGUUCAUAGCUUCGAUGUAUGUAGGUCAAUUGAUACGAGAAUGUCUUCUAAAGGUGUUCUCGAGACUACUGUCACACCAAUGGAUAAGAUUCCGCACGGAAAAGAGAGCAAGUUCGCUGUGUGCGUAGUUACCUAAGAGGAAUAAAAGAGAAUGUCCGUUGUCGCAUCUUUAAAUUUCAGUAGACACUAUUAACCCCCAUUCGGAUAAUUUAUCUACGUAACGUGAACGGACAGUCGGAGUCCGUUGGAACGUGUAAGUACAUAAGUUAAAGCAAAAUAAUGGUUAGCGAUGUGCGAGAACUUGAAAAUAUCGAGUCAGCUUCUCAAAACUAGAUCGAAGAUAGAAGCCUUUUUUAGAAAUGAAGAAAAAUAAUGAAAAUAAAAUUAACCAUACCCUGUCGACCUAAUCCUUUUUUUAAUCAAAUUGUACGAAAUGGCUGAUUGUGUGGAGUGUAUAAAAUUUUACUAAAAUCGCUACCAUGAAGUCAGGAUAAAUAAUAGGUGGAAAAAAUGUCAGUUGAAUCUCAGAAUUUUAGAAUUUUGUAAUUUUAAAAUACAGGAACUCUAAAAAUGUACAGUACUGGAAUUCUUAUGUGUAGUUAAAAAUUUUGUAACUUAACAAUUUUUAAAUUAUCAAGAUUCGUAAUAUU
Molecule: long non-coding RNA, 1063 nt
Organism: Osmia lignaria (orchard mason bee)
Lineage: Eukaryota; Metazoa; Arthropoda; Insecta; Hymenoptera; Megachilidae
Source: RefSeq, a predicted model, not a curated record